CCAAUGGCGUUAGAGAUAACAAUUAAAACAGCAAGCCCCGCCCCACGACUGACAAAAAUAGAAGUGUUCGCGCGAGCAGGUGAGAGAAGAUCGAGCGCGAGGAUGUGGGGGAUGAUCACGCGCGCGCGAGGGCUUGUAUUGCGCGCAGAGGACGAGUGACGCGCGCGCGAGUGUUUAAAAUUAGCUCGCGGGCUCCCGUUUCCUCGCUUGUAGAUCUGUUUUCCUCUCGCGGAAGUGAUUUACCGCGCGCGCCAGCAUAAGUGGUGCGCUCGGUUAUUAAUGGCACAGAUUUGACGCCAUAGGGAGAAAGCGAGAAAGCGGUGAAAUGAGACGAGAGAUCACCUGUCCUGCAUAUGGAUGUUUGGUCCUCCAUACCCAUGUGCGUGGCGCCAUGUGCAUUGACAGGUAUUUCCCUUUCUGGCUGGCUGUCCAACAGUGAGGUAGAAAUCACAUUUGGAAUCUCAUGCCCAGGACCUGCAGGGGAAGGAGGUUUCAUUCGGUUCUGAACAGCUUCCAUGCACUUCUCUGUGGAUUUGAAUGGAGGCCAGUAACAGUGUCUCUUGUCUAGGCUCAACCAGUUUGAUGCCACCACCAUCACCUCAUCUGAGUCUUGUAAGACAAGUGGUUCCCAAUGUGGAGCCCUUCCAACAUUGCACAUUUUGCAUGUCAUCUUAAUAAAGCACACCCAACUCAGG
Molecule: long non-coding RNA, 695 nt
Organism: Onychostoma macrolepis
Lineage: Eukaryota; Metazoa; Chordata; Actinopteri; Cypriniformes; Cyprinidae
Exons: 5
Source: RefSeq, a predicted model, not a curated record